This 369-nucleotide ribosomal RNA is filed under the name uncultured organism. RNAcentral's name for it is "bacterial SSU rRNA". It matches the Rfam family "Bacterial small subunit ribosomal RNA", at positions 526 to 896 of the family's 1533-position model. The record is from RNAcentral.
CGAAGGAUGCAAGCGUUAUCCGGAUUCAUUGGGUUUAAAGGGUGCGUAGGCGGACUGAUAAGUCAGUGGUGAAAUCUCUUUGCUUAACAAAGAAACUGCCAUUGAUACUGUCGGUCUAGAGUAUAGAUGACGUUGGCGGAAUAUGACAUGUAGUGGUGAAAUACUUAGAUAUGUCAUAGAACACCGAUUGCGAAGGCAGCUAACGAAACUAUAACUGACGCUGAGGCACGAAAGUGCGGGGACCAAACAGGAUUAGAUACCCUGGUAGUCCGCACCGUAAACGAUGAUUACUCGUUGUUGGCGAUAUGACAGUCAGCGACCAAGCGAAAGCGAUAAGUAAUCCACCUGGGGAGUACGCCGGCAACGGUG